This 261-nucleotide unclassified non-coding RNA is filed under the name Hevea brasiliensis (rubber tree). Lineage: Eukaryota; Viridiplantae; Streptophyta; Magnoliopsida; Malpighiales; Euphorbiaceae. The record is from RNAcentral.
UUUUUUUUGGAGGGAAAAAAAAAUCUUGCCCAGGAAAUUCUAAACCAUAAUCUGUCAACAUACUAUGACAGGUCACAACUAAUUUUCAGCUGCAAUAGCCAAGUUGAUUUUGCACCAAUUUCAAUGAAGGCAGCAAGCAAAAUGUUUCAAGAAAUCUACCUAAAAGUCAUUCAGAAUGCAGCUCCAAGUAUGUUCAGCAUAUAAUCGAUCGCGUCGAGUUAAGCAACCCAACUACUUAAAAUUGGACAAGUAUUUGCAAGC